GGAGAAAACGAAAAAAGGGAGAGAAAUCCCACAAGAAAAACGCCCGCAAGAGAAACUCGCCCACGCGAGCACCGUGCACUGUGCGCGUGCUUGCGCGUACGACCAAGCACAGGACUUGCGCAUUGUGCGCACGUCCCAUCCGUGUGGGGCAGGGGACUGGUCGGCGUGCGUAUCUUGCCGCGCGCGAACAAGGCUAAGUGUCCCGCACCUUAUAUGUG
This 218-nucleotide long non-coding RNA is filed under the name Carica papaya (papaya). RNAcentral's name for it is "long non-coding RNA (CPAP_LNC015934)". Lineage: Eukaryota; Viridiplantae; Streptophyta; Magnoliopsida; Brassicales; Caricaceae. The record is from RNAcentral.